RNAcentral lists this transfer RNA (76 nucleotides) under Chloroflexota bacterium. RNAcentral's name for it is "tRNA-Val". It matches the Rfam family "tRNA". Rfam says of the family: Transfer RNA (tRNA) molecules are approximately 80 nucleotides in length. Their secondary structure includes four short double-helical elements and three loops (D, anti-codon, and T loops). Lineage: Bacteria; Bacillati; Chloroflexota. The record is from RNAcentral.
GGGCGAUUAGCUCAGUGGUGAGAGCGCUUGCUUCACACGCAAGAGGUCACUGGUUCAAGUCCAGUAUCGCCCACCA